This 2019-nucleotide ribosomal RNA is filed under the name Triticum aestivum (bread wheat). RNAcentral describes it as "partial small subunit ribosomal RNA". The record is from RNAcentral. Lineage: Eukaryota; Viridiplantae; Streptophyta; Magnoliopsida; Poales; Poaceae.
AUGCGGCUCAAGCCUGUAUCCGUCGUCUCCUUCCUCGUGUCGCUCCUCUUCCAGUUCCUCGCCGGCGGUGACGGGCACUUCAUCUACAACGGCUUUGAUGGUGCGUGGCUCGAACUCGACGGCAUGGCCGUGGUCGAGCCUGACGGCAAGCUCGCGCUCACCAACGUCACGUCCCAGCUCAAAGGCAGCGCCUUCCACCCGACGCCCCUCCGCUUCCACGAAACCAACGGCACCGUCGCACGCUCCUUCUCAGCAGCCUUCGUGUUCGCCAUUGUCACCGACCUGGUCACGGUGGGCGGAAACGGCCUCGCCUUCUUCGUCGGGCCGACCAAGAACUUGUCCAUGGCGUCGCCGAGCCAGUUCCUCGGCCUCUUCAACCCCCAGAACAACGGCAACGCGAGCAACCACGUCUUCGCCGUCGAGCUUGACACCAUCCUCAACCCGGAGUUUCGGGACAUCAACAGUAACCACGUCGGCGUCGACGUGAACGGCCUGGCAUCGGUCGUGGCCGAACCUGCAGGCUACUACGACGACGACACCGGCGAUUUCAGGAACCUGACUCUCAUCAGUGGUGAUGCCAUGCAAGUGUGGGUGGACUACGACGGCCGAUCCACGGUGCUCAACGUGACCCUCGCGCCUGUGGAGGCUCCCAGGCCCAAAAAGCCCCUCAUCUCCGUCACCGUCGAUCUCUCGCCGGUGCUGAACGGCACGGCGUACGUCGGCCUCUCGUCGUCGACGGGGCCGUUCCGCACGCGCCACUACGUGCUGGGCUGGAGCUUUGCGCUGGACGGGGCAGCGCCGCCGCUCGACUACUCAAACCUCCCCAAGCCGCCCCGCAUCGGCGACAGCAAGCGACGGUCCAAGGCGCGCGACGUCAUCCUUCCGGUGGCCACUCCGAUCCUCGCGCUCGCGGUGGUCGCCGGCGUCUCCCUGCUCUUGUGGCGGCGGUUGCGGUACGCGGAGCUGAGGGAGGAGUGGGAGGUGGAGUUCGGGCCGCACCGGUUGGCAUACAAGGAUCUGUACAUCGCCACCGGCGGCUUCGACGGCAAGCACCUUCUCGGCGUCGGCGGGUUCGGGAGGGUGUACAAGGGCGUGCUCCCGGCGUCCAAGAAGGAGGUGGCCGUCAAGGUCGUCGUGUCGCACGACGACGCGAAGCUGGGGAUGAAGCAGUUCGUCGCCGAGGUUGUCAGCCUCGGCCGCCUCCGGCACCGCAACAUCGUGCAGCUGCUCGGCUACUGCCGGCGCAAAGGCGAGCUCCUCCUGGUUUACGACUACAUGCCCAACGGCAGCCUGGACAAUUGGCUGUACGACCGGAACGCGACGCCGCUGGGCUGGGCGCAGAGGCUCAGCGCCAUUAGAGGCGUCGCGUCCGGCUUGCUCUACCUCCACGACGACUGGGAGAAAGUGGUGGUGCACCGGGACAUCAAGGCGAGCAACGUGCUCCUGGACGGCGAGAUGAACGCGCGGCUCGGCGACUUCGGGCUGGCCAAGCUGUACGACCGAGGCACCGACCCGCAGACUACCAGCGUGGUGGGCACCAUGGGUUACCUCGCGCCGGAGCUGGCGUGCACGCGGCGGGUCACGCCGGCCACAGACGUGUUUGCGUUCGGAGCGUUCGUGCUGGAGGUGGCCUGCGGCCGGCGGCCCAUCGAGCACGGCGCGGUCGACGACAACCGGCUGGUGCUCGCGGACUGGGUGCUCGAGCGCUGGCACAACGGGGACGUCACGGACACGGCGGACCCGCGGCUCUCCGGCGCCUACGAUGUCGAGGAGGCCGCGGCGGUGCUCAGGCUGGGCCUGGUGUGCUCCCACCCGGCGCCCGCUGCGAGGCCGUCGAUGCGGCAGGUGGUGCAGUACCUUGACGGCGACGUGCCGAUGCCCGAGCCGGCGCCGACGUAUCGGAGCUUCACCGCGGUGGCCUUGAUGCAGAACGCCAAGGGCAACGACUCCUACGUUGCUUCAUACCCGUUGUCUUCGGCGACUAGCGUCGGCGCAUCCUCUGUUCUCUCCGGGAGGUGA